Molecule: ribosomal RNA, 701 nt
Filed under: Arthrobacter pascens
Lineage: Bacteria; Bacillati; Actinomycetota; Actinomycetes; Micrococcales; Micrococcaceae
Description: bacterial SSU rRNA
Rfam family: Bacterial small subunit ribosomal RNA
Source: RNAcentral
GAGUUUGAUCCUGGCUCAGGAUGAACGCUGGCGGCGUGCUUAACACAUGCAAGUCGAACGAUGAUCCCCAGCUUGCNGGGGGGAUUAGUGGCGAACGGGUGAGUAACACGUGAGUAACCUGCCCUUAACUCUGGGAUAAGCCUGGGAAACUGGGUCUAAUACCGGAUAUGACUCCUCAUCGCAUGGUGGGGGGUGGAAAGCUUUUGUGGUUUUGGAUGGACUCGCGGCCUAUCAGCUUGUUGGUGAGGUAAUGGCUCACCAAGGCGACGACGGGUAGCCGGCCUGAGAGGGUGACCGGCCACACUGGGACUGAGACACGGCCCAGACUCCUACGGGAGGCAGCAGUGGGGAAUAUUGCACAAUGGGCGCAAGCCUGAUGCAGCGACGCCGCGUGAGGGAUGACGGCCUUCGGGUUGUAAACCUCUUUCAGUAGGGAAGAAGCGAAAGUGACGGUACCUGCAGAAGAAGCGCCGGCUAACUACGUGCCAGCAGCCGCGGUAAUACGUAGGGCGCAAGCGUUAUCCGGAAUUAUUGGGCGUAAAGAGCUCGUAGGCGGUUUGUCGCGUCUGCCGUGAAAGUCCGGGGCUCAACUCCGGAUCUGCGGUGGGUACGGGCAGACUAGAGUGAUGUAGGGGAGACUGGAAUUCCUGGUGUAGCGGUGAAAUGCGCAGAUAUCAGGAGGAACACCGAUGGCGAAGGCA